GAGUUUGAUCAUGGCUCAGGAUGAACGCUGGCUACAGGCUUAACACAUGCAAGUCGAGGGGAAACGACGGGGAAGCUUGCUUCCCCGGGCGUCGACCGGCGCACGGGUGAGUAACGCGUAUCCAACCUGCCUCUGACUGAGGGAUAACCCGUCGAAAGUCGGCCUAGUACCUCAUGGCAUCGUCUGCGGGCAUCCAACGACGAUUAAAGAUUUCAUCGGUCAGGGAUGGGGAUGCGUCUGAUUAGCUUGUUGGCGGGGUAACGGCCCACCAAGGCUACGAUCAGUAGGGGUUCUGAGAGGAAGGUCCCCCACAUUGGAACUGAGACACGGUCCAAACUCCUACGGGAGGCAGCAGUGAGGAAUAUUGGGUCAUGGGCGAGAGCCUGAACCAGCCAAGUAGCGUGCAGGAUGACGGCCCUAUGGGUUUGUAAACUGCUUUAUGCCGGGGAUAAAGUGAGGGACGUGUCCUUCAUUGCAGGUACCGCAUGAAUAAGGACCGGCUAAUUCCGUGCCAGCAGCCGCGGUAAUACGGAAGGUCCGGGCGUUAUCCGGAUUNAUUGGGUUAAAGGGAGCGUAGGCCGUGGAUUAAGCGUGUUGUGAAAUGCAGGUGCUCAACGUCUGCACUGCAGCGCGAACUGGUCCACUUGAGUGUGCGCAACGCAGGCGGAAUUCGUCGUGUAGCGGUGAAAUGCUUAGAUAUGACGAAGAACUCCGAUUGCGAAGGCAGCUUGCGGGAGCACAACUGACGCUGAAGCUCGAAAGUGCGGGUAUCGAACAGGAUUAGAUACCCUGGUAGUCCGCACGGUAAACGAUGGAUGCCCGUUGUCAGGCUGUUUCAGCCUGGUGACCAAGCGAAAGCAUUAAGCAUCCCACCUGGGGAGUACGCCGGCAACGGUGAAACUCAAAGGAAUUGACGGGGGCCCGCACAAGCGGAGGAACAUGUGGUUUAAUUCGAUGAUACGCGAGGAACCUUACCCGGGCUUGAAUUGCAGACGAAGGCUUCAGAGAUGAAGCGGCCCUUCGGGGCGUCUGUGAAGGUGCUGCAUGGUUGUCGUCAGCUCGUGCCGUGAGGUGUCGGCUUAAGUGCCAUAACGAGCGCAACCCCUUUCUUCAGUUGCCAUCAGGUGAUGCUGGGCACUCUGGAGACACUGCCACCGCAAGGUGUGAGGAAGGUGGGGAUGACGUCAAAUCAGCACGGCCCUUACGUCCGGGGCUACACACGUGUUACAAUGGCCGGUACAGAGAGUUGAUUUUGUGCAAACACGAUCUAAUCCUUAAAUCCGGUCCCAGUUCGGACUGGGGUCUGCGACCCGACCCCACGAAGCUGGAUUCGCUAGUAAUCGCGCAUCUGCCUUGGCGCGGUGAAAUACGUUUCCCGGGCCUUGUACCCACCGCCCGUCAAG
Molecule: ribosomal RNA, 1403 nt
Filed under: uncultured bacterium
Lineage: Bacteria
Description: bacterial SSU rRNA
Rfam family: Bacterial small subunit ribosomal RNA
Source: RNAcentral